This 344-nucleotide unclassified non-coding RNA is filed under the name soil metagenome. RNAcentral's name for it is "partial contains 5.8S ribosomal RNA, internal transcribed spacer 2, and large subunit ribosomal RNA". The stretch from base 1 to 120 matches the Rfam family "5.8S ribosomal RNA", at positions 35 to 154 of the family's 154-position model. The record is from RNAcentral.
GAUGAAGAACGUAGCGAAAUGCGAUAAGUAAUGUGAAUUGCAGAAUUCAGUGAAUCAUCGAAUCUUUGAACGCACAUUGCGCCCGCCAGUACUCUGGCGGGCAUGCCUGUUCGAGCGUCAUUUCAACCCUCAAGCCCCCGGGCUUGGUGUUGGGGAUCGGCGUGCCCUCGCGGCGCGCCGUCCCCUAAAUCUAGUGGCGGUCUCGCUGUAGCUUCCUCUGCGUAGUAGCAACACUCGCACUGGAUCGCAGCGCGGCCACGCCGUUAAACCCCCCACUUCUGAAAGUUUGACCUCGGAUCAGGUAGGAAUACCCGCUGAACUUAAGCAUAUCAAUAAGCGGAGGA